AUGGAUAUCACAGUAAACUGCAAAACAAAAUCCCGUGAGAUUCAAAAAAAUCAAAAUGAACUUCAAGCAGCGGGUACAAUGCGUAUGAGGGAGGUGCUGGAGCCAUGGCAUGACAACGGGCGUGAUCUUGUGUUGGGGAGGCCGGCCACCAGAGAGGAGGGAGGAAGCAGUGGGAGGGAGGCCCGCGCUCGCCGGUGGUGGAGGCUUCGGGUGUUGGGGCAGGCCCGAGGGAAGAAGGGGAAUGGGAUCCGGUGGUGGAAGCUCGGUACAGCGCGGAUCAUGCCGGAUCUAGAGCAGUCCACACAGAGAGAGGUUGAGGACCAUGGGGAGGGGCGUCGCGACUAG
Molecule: ribosomal RNA, 345 nt
Filed under: Triticum aestivum (bread wheat)
Lineage: Eukaryota; Viridiplantae; Streptophyta; Magnoliopsida; Poales; Poaceae
Description: partial small subunit ribosomal RNA
Source: RNAcentral